This is a non-coding RNA of Phrynosoma platyrhinos (Desert horned lizard), 72 nucleotides long. Lineage: Eukaryota; Metazoa; Chordata; Lepidosauria; Squamata; Phrynosomatidae. The record is from the annotation of a GenBank genome assembly.
GCCAGUAUGGUGCAGUGGUUUGAACUUUAGUCUAUAGCUGUGGAGAUCAGGGUUCAAAUCCCCACAUGGCCA